AUUGAACGCUGGCGGCAUGCCUAACACAUGCAAGUCGAACGAGUGGCGGACGGGUGAGUAAUUUCUGGGAAACUGCCUGAUGGAGGGGGAUAACUACUGGAACCGGUCGCUAAUACCGCCUACCAUCAGCUGUGCCCAGGUGGGAUUAGCGUGUGGGUGGGGUAAUGGCUCACCAAGGCGACGAUCCCUAGCUGGUCUGAGAGGAUGACCAGCCACACUGGAACUGAGACACGGUCCAGACUCCUACGGGAGGCAGCAGUGGGGAAUAUUGCACAAUGGGCGCAAGCCUGAUGCAGCCAUGCCGCGUGUGUGAAGAAGGCCUUCGGGUUGUAAAGUACUUUCAGCGGGGAGGCGUUACCCGCAGAAGAAGCACCGGCUAACUCCGUGCCAGCAGCCGCGGUAAUUC
RNAcentral lists this ribosomal RNA (406 nucleotides) under uncultured bacterium. Its description in RNAcentral is "partial 16S ribosomal RNA". It matches the Rfam family "Bacterial small subunit ribosomal RNA", at positions 30 to 526 of the family's 1533-position model. The record is from RNAcentral.